UACAGAGGGGGCAAGCGUUGUUCGGAAUUACUGGGCGUAAAGGGCGCGUAGGCGGCCUUCUAAGUCGAACGUGAAAUCCCCGGGCUCAACCCGGGAACUGCGUCCGAUACUGGAAGGCUUGAAUCCGGGAGAGGGAUGCGGAAUUCCAGGUGUAGCGGUGAAAUGCGCAGAUAUCAGGAGGAACACCGGUGGCGAAGGCGGGUCUCUGGGCCGUAACUGACGCUGAGGAGCGAAAGCAUGGGGAGCGAACAGG
RNAcentral lists this ribosomal RNA (253 nucleotides) under uncultured bacterium. RNAcentral describes it as "partial 16S ribosomal RNA". It matches the Rfam family "Bacterial small subunit ribosomal RNA", at positions 524 to 776 of the family's 1533-position model. The record is from RNAcentral.